RNAcentral lists this ribosomal RNA (494 nucleotides) under uncultured bacterium. RNAcentral describes it as "partial 16S ribosomal RNA". It matches the Rfam family "Bacterial small subunit ribosomal RNA", at positions 28 to 507 of the family's 1533-position model. The record is from RNAcentral.
GACGAACGCUGGCGGCGUGCUUAACACAUGCAAGUCGAACGGAAAGGCCUGCUUUCCCUUGUGGAUUGCGGGUACUCGAGUGGCGAACGGGUGAGUAACACGUGAGUGAUCUGCCCCCAACUUGGGUAUAAGCCUGGGAAACUGGGUCUAAUUCCCGAUAGGACUGCAGGGUGGUGCCUGUGGUGGAAAACGAUUUUCUAGUGGUUGGGGAUGAGCUCGCGGCCUAUCAGCUUGUUGGUGGGGUAAUGGCCUACCAAGGCGGCGACGGGUAGCCGGCCUGAGAGAGUGGACGGGCGAAUUGGGACUGAGAAACGGCCCAGACUCCUACGGGAGGCAGCAGUGGGGAAUAUUGCACGAGGGGCGGAAGCCUGAUGCAGCGACGCCGCGUGGGGGAUGACGGCCUUCGGGUGGUAAACUCCUUUCGACCGCGAGGAAGCCACCUGGUUGGAAGGGUGGUGACGGUAGUGGUAGAAGAAGCACCGGCUAACUACGUG